AUGGAAAAUUGCAUUUUUGGAAUUUGCAAUAAUGCGAUGGGAGAACGACGGGAAUUGAACCCGCGCAUGGAUUUUUUGCUUUUUUCCAUUGAUCAUUAUUCUAUUUAUCCUGACCUCCGUACUUCGAUCGAGAUAUUGGACAUAGAAUGCCACUCUUUAAAAAGGAAAAAAGGAGUAAUCAGCCGUGACACGAAAAAAAACGAAUCCUUUUUUAGCUCAUCAUUUAUUGGCAAAGAUAGAAAAGGUCAAUAUGAAGGAGGAGAAAGAAACAAUAGUAACAUGGUCCUAGGCAUCUAG
Molecule: ribosomal RNA, 297 nt
Filed under: Triticum aestivum (bread wheat)
Lineage: Eukaryota; Viridiplantae; Streptophyta; Magnoliopsida; Poales; Poaceae
Description: partial small subunit ribosomal RNA
Source: RNAcentral